RNAcentral lists this ribosomal RNA (859 nucleotides) under uncultured Bacillota bacterium. RNAcentral describes it as "bacterial SSU rRNA". It matches the Rfam family "Bacterial small subunit ribosomal RNA", at positions 40 to 916 of the family's 1533-position model. The record is from RNAcentral. Lineage: Bacteria; Bacillati; Bacillota.
CGGCGUGCCUAACACAUGCAAGUCGAACGGAGUUAAGUCUUCGGAUUUAACUUAGUGGCGAACGGGUGAGUAACGCGUGAGAAACCUGCCUUUCAGUGGGGGACAACAGUUGGAAACGACUGCUAAUACCGCAUAAUGUUAUUUGGGGGCAUCCCUGGAUAACCAAAGAUUUAUUGCUGAAAGAUGGUCUCGCGUCUGAUUAGCUAGAUGGCGGGGUAACGGCCCACCAUGGCGACGAUCAGUAGCCGGUCUGAGAGGAUGAACGGCCACAUUGGGACUGAGAUACGGCCCAGACUCCUACGGGAGGCAGCAGUGGGGAAUAUUGGGCAAUGGGGGAAACCCUGACCCAGCAACGCCGCGUGAAGGAAGAAGGCCUUCGGGUUGUAAACUUCUUUUAGCAGGGACGAAUUUUGACGGUACCUGCAGAAAAAGCAACGGCUAACUACGUGCCAGCAGCCGCGGUAAUACGUAGGUUGCAAGCGUUGUCCGGAUUUACUGGGUGUAAAGGGCGUGUAGGCGGAGAUGCAAGUUGGGAGUGAAAUCCCGGGGCUCAACCCCGGAACUGCUUUCAAAACUGUAUCCCUUGAGUGUCGGAGAGGCAAGCGGAAUUCCUAGUGUAGCGGUGAAAUGCGUAGAUAUUAGGAGGAACACCAGUGGCGAAGGCGGCUUGCUGGACGAUAACUGACGCUGAGGCGCGAAAGCGUGGGGAGCAAACAGGAUUAGAUACCCUGGUAGUCCACGCUGUAAACGAUGAAUACUAGGUGUGGGGAGGACUGACCCCUUCCGUGCCGCAGUUAACACAAUAAGUAUUCCACCUGGGGAGUACGACCGCAAGGUUGAAACUCAAAUGAAUUGACGG